GAUGAACGCUAGCGGCAGGCCUAACACAUGCAAGUCGAGGGGCAUCAUGGCGUAGCAAUACGAUGGUGGCGACCGGCGCACGGGUGAGUAACACGUAUGCAACCUGCCUGUAAGAGGGGGAUAACCCGGAGAAAUUCGGACUAAUACCGCAUAAUACCACGAGACUGCAUGGUUUUGUGGUUAAACAUUUAUGGCUUACAGAUGGGCAUGCGUAUGAUUAGAUAGUUGGUAGGGUAACGGCCUACCAAGUCUACGAUCAUUAGGGGUUCUGAGAGGAAGGUCCCCCACACUGGUACUGAGACACGGACCAAACUCCUACGGGAGGCAGCAGUGAGGAAUAUUGGUCAAUGGGCGGAAGCCUGAACCAGCCAAGUAGCGUGCAGGAUGACGGCCCUAUGGGUUGUAAACUGCUUUUAUACAGGAAUAAAGUUAGCCACGUGUGGUUAUUUGUAGGUACUGUAUGAAUAAGGACCGGCUAAUUCCGUGCCAGCAGCCGCGGUAAA
Molecule: ribosomal RNA, 503 nt
Filed under: uncultured bacterium
Lineage: Bacteria
Description: bacterial SSU rRNA
Rfam family: Bacterial small subunit ribosomal RNA
Source: RNAcentral